RNAcentral lists this long non-coding RNA (383 nucleotides) under Homo sapiens (human). RNAcentral's name for it is "HSALNT0339149". The record is from RNAcentral. Lineage: Eukaryota; Metazoa; Chordata; Mammalia; Primates; Hominidae.
CAGCGCCCAAAGGAAACGGGCGCGCCAGGGUUUGCUGGAACCGGGGUUGCUUAGGGGUUCUCGCCCCGUCUAGUCCGAGACUGCUGAGCACCUCGCCCCCGGGGGACCAAGCUCAGGCCUCCUGGCACUAGUGGUUAUAAAGAGGUGUUCCACGUGGCCAUAGCGUUUGCGUCACAAUGACCUGGCGGACAGGUGGGAGCCACAGCGUACACCCCAGGGUUCCCUCUGUGCUGUGCGUAGUGCCUACUGCUUGCUUCCAGGUUAAAUUUCUGUAGCUUUAGAGGACAGGAGACUUCAUGACUUCACUGCCAAGAAAAGUUACAGAGGCCUGCUGUACCUGGAAAUCAAGUUUGAGCUUCGAGAAUAAAGGUCAUGUUUUAAAA